UGGGGAAUUUUGGACAAUGGGCGCAAGCCUGAUCCAGCCAUGCCGCGUGCGGGAAGAAGGCCUUCGGGUUGUAAACCGCUUUUGUCAGGGAAGAAAUCUUCUGAGUUAAUACCUCGGGAGGAUGACGGUACCUGAAGAAUAAGCACCGGCUAACUACGUGCCAGCAGCCGCGGUAAUACGUAGGGUGCAAGCGUUAAUCGGAAUUACUGGGCGUAAAGCGUGCGCAGGCGGUUUUGUAAGACAGAGGUGAAAUCCCCGGGCUCAACCUGGGAACUGCCUUUGUGACUGCAAGGCUUGAGUGCGGCAGAGGGGGGAUGGAAUUCCGCGUGUAGCAGUGAAAUGCGUAGAUAUGCGGAGAAACACCGAUGGCGAAGGCAAUCCCCUGGGCCUGCACUGACGCUCAUGCACGAAAGCGUGGGGAGCAAACAGGAUUAGAUAGCCCUGGUAGUCCACGCCCUAAAACGAUGUCAACUGGUUGUUGGGAAGGUUCCUUCUCAGUAACGUAGCUAACGCGUGAAGUUGACCGCCUGGGGAGUACGGCCGCAAGGUUG
This 551-nucleotide ribosomal RNA is filed under the name uncultured bacterium. Its description in RNAcentral is "partial 16S ribosomal RNA". It matches the Rfam family "Bacterial small subunit ribosomal RNA", at positions 355 to 896 of the family's 1533-position model. The record is from RNAcentral.